RNAcentral lists this ribosomal RNA (465 nucleotides) under uncultured bacterium. RNAcentral describes it as "partial 16S ribosomal RNA". It matches the Rfam family "Bacterial small subunit ribosomal RNA", at positions 338 to 795 of the family's 1533-position model. The record is from RNAcentral.
CCUACGUGAGGCAGCAGUGGGGAAUAUUGCGCAAUGGGCGAAAGCCUGACGCAGCGACGCCGCGUGAGGGAUGAAGGUCUUCGGAUCGUAAACCUCUGUCAGCAGGGAAGAACGGUCACUGUGCUAAUCAGCAGUGAAUUGACGGUACCUGCAAAGGAAGCACCGGCUAACUCCGUGCCAGCAGCCGCGGUAAUACGGAGGGUGCGAGCGUUAAUCGGAAUUACUGGGCGUAAGGCGCUCGUAGGCGGUAUGUCAAGUCAAGGGUGAAAUCCCCGCGCUCAACGUGGGAACUGCCUUUGAAACUGGCAAACUGGAGUGUGUGAGAGGAUAGUGGAAGUCCAGGUGUAGGAGUGAAAUCCGUAGAUAUCUGGAGGAACAUCAGUGGCGAAGGCGACUAUCUGGCACAUAACUGACGCUGAGGAGCGAAAGCGUGGGUAGCAAACAGGAUUAGAUACCCUGGUAGUC